CCGUUUGGAUCACUAGCAGCUAAAUUUAGCCGGCUAAAAUUUAGUUAUAAAAACUAUCAUGACAUCUAAAAUCUUACAUACUCGAGUGUGCUCAAAGCUAACAUUCAACUAUACCAUGGUAGCACACAUUAGUGGAAGUAUGUAAUAGAUAUAUUUAGAAUCUAUUUGGAGGAGCUAAACUUCAGCGCAUAUUAACAGUGUAAUAUAUAUUAGCACUCUUGUUUGGAUGGACUAGUGUUAAGUUUUAGCACUUUCAUCCAUUAGCGUUAGGAUCCAAACGGAACCUUAAUUGUAUAUAUGUCAUCUUACGCCAUUUUAAAAACAAUUUAGCAGCAGUUUCGCUUGAAAAGUUAAAGAUAAGAUAAUUUAUGCUCUUCCCACGUGGAUGAUCCGCUACUUAAUAAGUGAUAAAUUGACAUACUUUUUGGAACAUCCGAUAAAUAUUAUCCAAAAAGGAUUCACACUUAGUUGACCCAAGUGACUGGUAAGAGUAUCCGAACAUCCUUACCUCGUAUAGCAUACUUUUCGUACGAGAUCUCAAUUCACACGAAAACUCGCGAGAACAAGACUAUAAUAUCCACGUACCUUUUUAAGGAAUCUUUCGGGUCCCACCGAUUUUCUACUUUUCUGUCCCGCGGCAUCAUCACAUCACUGUUUCAGCAAGCAAGAAAGAUCCUGGGUCUCGUGUCAACGGGACCGAGGACCUUGAUUCACAUGGUCCCUCGCCAGUGCCGGCCAGUCCGCCGCGCCGGCGGCCGGAGCCAUACGCGACGCGCGAUCGAUCCGAUCACCGGCCGGCCGGUCGCGGGCUUCGCGUGCACGCCUCUGCCUCGCUUGCUCCGUCUCAGGUUCUCCGCAUAGUCUUCGUGUUGACUUGGAGAUGCUUUGUUCCGCGGCGAGGAGGGAGGAGGGAUCCCAUUGGCGCGUCGGCGAGCGGAGCCAGAGAGAGAGAGAGAGAGAGAGAGACAGG
This 970-nucleotide long non-coding RNA is filed under the name Panicum hallii. RNAcentral describes it as "long non-coding RNA (PHAL_LNC000021)". Lineage: Eukaryota; Viridiplantae; Streptophyta; Magnoliopsida; Poales; Poaceae. The record is from RNAcentral.